GUGCUCGCUUCAGCCGCACACAUACAAAAACUGCAACAAUACGGAGACGAUGAGCACGGCCCCUGCACAAGGAUGACACGCAGAUGCGUGAAGUGUUCCAUAUUUUU
Aethalodelphis obliquidens (Pacific white-sided dolphin) is the source of this 107-nucleotide small nuclear RNA. Lineage: Eukaryota; Metazoa; Chordata; Mammalia; Artiodactyla; Delphinidae. The record is from RefSeq and is a predicted model, not a curated record.